UACGUAGGUGGCAAGCGUUAUCCGGAAUUAUUGGGCGUAAAGCGCGCGCAGGCGGUUUCUUAAGUCUGAUGUGAAAGCCCACGGCUCAACCGUGGAGGGUCAUUGGAAACUGGGAAACUUGAGUGCAGCAGAGAAGAGUGGAAUUCCACGUGUAGCGGUGAAAUGCGUAGAGAUGUGGAGGAACACCAGUGGCGAAGGCGACUCUUUGGUCUGUAACUGACGCUGAGGCGCGAAAGCGUGGGGAGCAAACAGG
Molecule: ribosomal RNA, 253 nt
Filed under: uncultured bacterium
Lineage: Bacteria
Description: partial 16S ribosomal RNA
Rfam family: Bacterial small subunit ribosomal RNA
Source: RNAcentral